UGGAUAAUGACACCAGUCAGGAAAAAGACUCCAGGGCAUACGACAGAGGGAGCCUUAGCACAUGGGUGAAAAAUCCUCUCCUCGCUGCGUCGGGGCCAGCUAUGUGGUUUGGACUUAACACGGGGAUGCUCUGUCUCAGGAGACGGCUUUCUAUGCUGCAGCAGCAAUAUGUCUGGAUAUGCACCAACCAAAGGAAGAGGGACUGCAAGCAAUCAAACGUGGCAGUGAAGAAAUAAAAAUCACCACAGCCAGGAUAACCACCAGUAAACACAGCAGCAGAACCUAUAACCCAGAAGAUAAAAUGGCAAGAUGUUUGUUAAAGCUGUUAGAGAUAGCAGCCACUAAUUUCACAUUGUUUAUUUUGAACUAUUUGAACUUUGAGAAAAGAAAAAGGUUCAAGCACUACAAAAUCUCGUCUCUCUCAAGAGAAGACACAAAUUAACAAAACUAAAUCACGUCCACACUCAAAGCUUCAGCUCUAGAGAGAGCAGUGUUGGCUGUUGUACAGCAAGUAUUAGAUGGGAUCCUCUUCACCUAAUGACUAAAUCAUGCUGUUAUUUUGCCUCUUAGCAUCACUAACACGAGGCUGACAUUACAGGCUCUUAAAAUAAUAUUAAUGGACCGAUCAUGAAUAAAUUUGUUGUAUCCACAGUUCGCAGAGGAACCCAGCUGACUCGCAUGAUCCUCUUAAAUUUCCAAGUUUUCUUUUCAAAAAAUGUGAUGCAGCUGCAGAUGCAGACUGAGAAUCACAAAAACAGCCAAGCUACGAGACGGUCAAGAACAAACGGGCUCAGUGUUUCUCUGUACUUCACUGUCUUCAAUUCCGUUUAAAAACUGUGUCUGGAAAAAAUUAUUUUAUUGAAUCGUUUAUUUACACUUUACGCACCAGAGACAGCAUGCUAUUUUUCCCCAGAUCCUCGUCCAACGGGGGAAAACCCCUGAUCGGAUUACAACUCUGUGUGCAUUGUUACUAAACUACAAUCAUGUAAAAAAAAGAAAAGAAAAAAAGAAAAAACAUACAGAGUUUGACGUCUCCAAGUUAAAAUAAAAAUGUACAUGUCUUAUGCAACUUUGUUACUUUUUUACUGUUAAGAAUUGGCAUUUGGGACCUGUUGAAUUACACUAGGGUGGCAAACACUACUCGAUCACCAUGCUAUUGUUUUCUGUAUACUUCUAAUUAUGCUUACAUUAGCUUUUAGCUCAAAGCCCUACUCCAUUACUGCAGCUGAAGAGGUUUAGAUAUGUUGCUUUAUUCAGUUAUCCUUCUACCGUCCACCGAGACUUCCAUCUGUAUCCUCACAGGCUCAACUGUUGAUUUUAACAAUUUCCACACCAUCUCCAUCUGUCUAUAUAUUAGUCUCAGCUCUCUGCAGUUGGAAGUAGUGAUCCAGAAUUGUUUUUGUUUGUUUUUUUAAAAAUCACAACCUUUCUGCCCCAGGACAGCAGCUCCCUGGGGGCGAGUGGUUUGUAAUUAGAUGGG
Astatotilapia calliptera (eastern happy) is the source of this 1480-nucleotide long non-coding RNA. Lineage: Eukaryota; Metazoa; Chordata; Actinopteri; Cichliformes; Cichlidae. The record is from Ensembl.